GGUGUUGUGGCUCAGUGGGAGAGCACUUGCCAGCAUGUGUGAAGCACUGGGUUCGAUCCUCAGCAACACAU
Molecule: transfer RNA, 71 nt
Filed under: Marmota monax (woodchuck)
Lineage: Eukaryota; Metazoa; Chordata; Mammalia; Rodentia; Sciuridae
Rfam family: tRNA
About the family: Transfer RNA (tRNA) molecules are approximately 80 nucleotides in length. Their secondary structure includes four short double-helical elements and three loops (D, anti-codon, and T loops).
Source: Rfam by way of RNAcentral